UUAAGUUCAGCGGGUAUCCCUACCUGAUCCGAGGUCAAACUGGAUGAAAAUAACGUUCAUGACCAGCACCGAUCGGGUCAACAGAGUGGUGAUGGAAGCCCAUACACUCAGACACCGUAUCUCGGGGCUGCCACUGCAUUUCAGGCCGUCCACACAGGGACGAUGGCCCAACACACAAGCCGCGCUUGAGGGGUUGCAAU
This 200-nucleotide unclassified non-coding RNA is filed under the name Chrysosporium sp. RNAcentral's name for it is "partial internal transcribed spacer 2". Lineage: Eukaryota; Fungi; Ascomycota; Eurotiomycetes; Onygenales; Onygenaceae. The record is from RNAcentral.